This 386-nucleotide ribosomal RNA is filed under the name uncultured bacterium. RNAcentral describes it as "bacterial SSU rRNA". It matches the Rfam family "Bacterial small subunit ribosomal RNA", at positions 28 to 414 of the family's 1533-position model. The record is from RNAcentral.
GACGAACGCUGGCGGCGUGCUUAACACAUGCAAGUCGAGCGGUAAGGCCCUUUCGGGGGGUACACGAGCGGCGAACGGGUGAGUAACACGUGGGUGACCUGCCCUCAGCUCUGGGAUAAGCCUGGGAAACCGGGUCUAAUACCGGAUAUGACUCCAUGACGCAUGUUGUGGGGUGGAAAGCCUUGUGCGGCUGAGGAUGGGCCCGCGGCCUAUCAGCUUGUUGGUGGGGUGAUGGCCUACCAAGGCGACGACGGGUAGCCGGCCUGAGAGGGCGACCGGCCACACUGGGACUGAGACACGGCCCAGACUCCUACGGGAGGCAGCAGUGGGGAAUCUUGCGCAAUGGGCGAAAGCCUGACGCAGCGACGCCGCGUGAGGGAUGACGG